AUUGAACGCUGGCGGCAGGCCUAACACAUGCAAGUCGAACGGUAACAGGAAGCAGCUUGCUGCUUUGCUGACGAGUGGCGGACGGGUGAGUAAUGUCUGGGAAACUGCCUGAUGGAGGGGGAUAACUACUGGAAACGGUAGCUAAUACCGCAUAACGUCGCAAGACCAAAGAGGGGGACCUUCGGGCCUCUUGCCAUCGAAUGUGCCCAGAUGGGAUUAGCUUGUUGGUGGGGUAACGGCUCACCAAGGCGACGAUCCCUAGCUGGUCUGAGAGGAUGACCAGCCACACUGGAACUGAGACACGGUCCAGACUCCUACGGGAGGCAGCAGUGGGGAAUAUUGCACAAUGGGCGCAAGCCUGAUGCAGCCAUGCCGCGUGUAUGAAGAAGGCCUUCGGGUUGUAAAGUACUUUCAGCGGGGAGGAAGGGAGUAAAGUUAAUACCUUUACUCAUUGACGUUACCCGCAGAAGAAGCACCGGCUAACUCCGUG
RNAcentral lists this ribosomal RNA (490 nucleotides) under uncultured bacterium. RNAcentral describes it as "partial 16S ribosomal RNA". It matches the Rfam family "Bacterial small subunit ribosomal RNA", at positions 30 to 507 of the family's 1533-position model. The record is from RNAcentral.